UACGUAGGGAGCGAGCGUUGUCCGGAAUUACUGGGUGUAAAGGGUGCGUAGGCGGUAAGACAAGUCAGACGUGAAAGGCAUAGGCUUAACCUGUGGACUGCGUUUGAAACUGUAUUACUUGAGUGAAGUAGAGGCAAGCGGAAUUCCCAGUGUAGCGGUGAAAUGCGUAGAGAUUGGGAGGAACACCAGUGGCGAAGGCGGCUUGCUGGGCUUUAACUGACGCUGAGGCACGAAAGUAUGGGGAG
This 245-nucleotide ribosomal RNA is filed under the name uncultured Oscillospiraceae bacterium. RNAcentral's name for it is "partial 16S ribosomal RNA". It matches the Rfam family "Bacterial small subunit ribosomal RNA", at positions 524 to 768 of the family's 1533-position model. The record is from RNAcentral. Lineage: Bacteria; Bacillati; Bacillota; Clostridia; Eubacteriales; Oscillospiraceae.